UGGGGGAAACCCUGAUGGUGCGACGCCGCGUGGGGGAUAAGGUCUUCGGAUUGUAAACCCCUGUCAUGUGGGACAUUAAAAAGAUAGUACCACAAGAGGAAGAGACGGCUAACUCUGUGCCAGCAGCCGCGGUAAUACAGAGGUCUCAAGCGUUGUUCGGAAUCACUGGGCGUAAAGCGUGCGUAGGCUGUUUCGUAGGUCGUGUGUGAAAGGCGCGGGCUCAACCCGCGGACGGCACAUGAUACUGCGAGACUAGAGUAAUGGAGGGGGAACCGGAAUUCUCGGUGUAGCAGUGAAAUGCGUAG
This 305-nucleotide ribosomal RNA is filed under the name uncultured bacterium. Its description in RNAcentral is "bacterial SSU rRNA". It matches the Rfam family "Bacterial small subunit ribosomal RNA", at positions 372 to 693 of the family's 1533-position model. The record is from RNAcentral.